GACGAACGCUGGCGGCGUGCUUAACACAUGCAAGUCGAACGGAAAGGCCCUGCUUGCCGGGUGCUCGAGUGGCGAACGGGUGAGUAACACGUGGGUGAUCUGCCCUGCACUUCGGGAUAAGCCUGGGAAACUGGGUCUAAUACCGGAUAGGAGCCAUUUUUAGUGUGAUGGUUGGAAAGUUUUUUCGGUGUAGGAUGAGUUCGCGGCCUAUCAGCUUGUUGGUGGGGUAAUGGCCUACCAAGGCGGCGACGGGUAGCCGGCCUGAGAGGGUGGACGGCCACAUUGGGACUGAGAUACGGCCCAGACUCCUACGGGAGGCAGCAGUGGGGAAUAUUGCACAAUGGGCGCAAGCCUGAUGCAGCGACGCCGCGUGGGGGAUGACGGCCUUCGGGUUGUAAACUCCUUUCGCUAGGGACGAAGCUUUUUGUGACGGUACCUAGAUAAGAAGCACCGGCUAACUACGUG
This 465-nucleotide ribosomal RNA is filed under the name uncultured bacterium. RNAcentral describes it as "partial 16S ribosomal RNA". It matches the Rfam family "Bacterial small subunit ribosomal RNA", at positions 28 to 507 of the family's 1533-position model. The record is from RNAcentral.